GAAACCCUUGCCUAGUGGUAGAGCGUCAGCCUCGGAUGCGGGAGGAUGCGGGUUCAAAUCCCGGCCGGGUCAUAUCA
Molecule: non-coding RNA, 77 nt
Organism: Potamilus streckersoni
Lineage: Eukaryota; Metazoa; Mollusca; Bivalvia; Unionida; Unionidae
Source: the annotation of a GenBank genome assembly